AUGAACGCUAGCUACAGGCUUAACACAUGCAAGUCGAGGGGCAGCAUUUCAGUUUGCUUGCAAACUGGAGAUGGCGACCGGCGCACGGGUGAGUAACACGUAUCCAACCUGCCGAUAACUCGGGGAUAGCCUUUCGAAAGAAAGAUUAAUACCCGAUGGUAUAAUCAGACCGCAUGGUCUUAUUAUUAAAGAAUUUCGGUUAUCGAUGGGGAUGCGUUCCAUUAGGCAGUUGGUGAGGUAACGGCUCACCAAACCUUCGAUGGAUAGGGGUUCUGAGAGGAAGGUCCCCCACAUUGGAACUGAGACACGGUCCAAACUCCUACGGGAGGCAGCAGUGAGGAAUAUUGGUCAAUGGGCGCAGGCCUGAACCAGCCAAGUAGCGUGAAGGAUGACUGCCCUAUGGGUUGUAAACUUCUUUUAUAUGGGAAUAAAGUUUUCCACGUGUGGAAUUUUGUAUGUACCAUAUGAAUAAGGAUCGGCUAACUCCGUGCCAGCAGCCGCGGUAAUACGGAGGAUCCGAGCGUUAUCCGGAUUUAUUGGGUUUAAAGGGAGCGUAGGUGGACAGUUAAGUCAGUUGUGAAAGUUUGCGGCUCAACCGUAAAAUUGCAGUUGAUACUGGCUGUCUUGAGUACAGUAGAGGUGGGCGGAAUUCGUGGUGUAGCGGUGAAAUGCUUAGAUAUCACGAAGAACUCCGAUUGCGAAGGCAGCUCACUGGGCUGCAACUGACACUGAUGCUCGAAAGUGUGGGUAUCAAACAGGAUUAGAUACCCUGGUAGUCCACACAGUAAACGAUGAAUACUCGCUGUUUGCGAUAUACAGUAAGCGGCCAAGCGAAAGCAUUAAGUAUUCCACCUGGGGAGUACGCCGGCAACGGUGAAACUCAAAGGAAUUGACGGGGGCCCGCACAAGCGGAGGAACAUGUGGUUUAAUUCGAUGAUACGCGAGGAACCUUACCCGGGCUUAAAUUGCAUUUGAAUAAUCUGGAAACAGGUUAGCCGCAAGGCAAAUGUGAAGGUGCUGCAUGGUUGUCGUCAGCUCGUGCCGUGAGGUGUCGGCUUAAGUGCCAUAACGAGCGCAACCCUUAUCUUUAGUUACUAACAGGUCAUGCUGAGGACUCUAGAGAGACUGCCGUCGUAAGAUGUGAGGAAGGUGGGGAUGACGUCAAAUCAGCACGGCCCUUACGUCCGGGGCUACACACGUGUUGCAAUGGGGGGUACAGAAGGCAGCUACCUGGUGACAGGAUGCUAAUCCCAAAAGCCUCUCUCAGUUCGGAUCGAAGUCUGCAACCCGACUUCGUGAAGCUGGAUUCGCUAGUAAUCGCGCAUCAGCCAUGGCGCGGUGAAUACGUUCCCGGGCCUUGUACACACCGCCCGUCAAGCCAUGAAAGCCGGGGGUACCUGAAGUACGUAACCGCAAGGAGCGUCCUAGGGUAAAACUGGUAAUUGGGGCUAAG
This 1453-nucleotide ribosomal RNA is filed under the name uncultured organism. RNAcentral's name for it is "SSU rRNA". It matches the Rfam family "Bacterial small subunit ribosomal RNA". The record is from RNAcentral.